CAAAGGAAUUGACGGGACCCGCACAAGCAGCGGAGCGUGUGGUUUAAUUCGUUGCUACACGAAGAACCUUACCUGGGUUUGACAUAUAGGUUGUAGGGAACUGAAAAGGGACCGACCCUUCGGGGAGCCUAUACAGGUGUUGCAUGGCUGUCGUCAGCUCGUGUCGUGAGAUGUUCGGUUAAGUCCGCUAACGAGCGCAACCCUCGUCGUAUGUUAUAUGUGUCAUACGAGACUGCCGGUAAAAGCCGGAGGAAGGUGAGGAUGAUGUCAAGUCAGCAUGACCUUUAUAUCCAGGGCUACACACACGCUACAAUGGUCUGUACAAUGGGUAGCCAAGCCGCGAGGCGGAGCCAAUCCUGAAAGCAGGCCUCAGUUCAGAUUGCAGUCUGCAACUCGACUGCAUGAAGCCGGAGUUGCUAGUAACCGCAGGUCAGCAAUACUGCGGUGAAUACGUUCCCGGGUCUU
Molecule: ribosomal RNA, 465 nt
Filed under: uncultured Anaerolineaceae bacterium
Lineage: Bacteria; Bacillati; Chloroflexota; Anaerolineae; Anaerolineales; Anaerolineaceae
Description: bacterial SSU rRNA
Rfam family: Bacterial small subunit ribosomal RNA
Source: RNAcentral